AGCCCACCGCUGUAGCAGCAGCAGAUCAGAGCUGAGCUGCAGAGAAACUGAGAAAUAGUGAUUUACAGAAUCAGCGCAGGAGGAGCAGAGCGAGCACUUCCACAGCGCCGUGGCGCUGAUCCCGAGUUUAUGUUGGAGAAUAAUGAGCGCACCUGAAGUUUAGACUUCAUUUCAUCGAUUUCGGCGAUCUUACAUUUGAAUGUUGACCAUGAACACAGAAGAUCAAUAUGACGGGGCCUUCCGCCCGAAGACUGCUGGGAUAGGCUCCAGCACCCCCCCGCGACCCUGACGGAGAAGCGGCUUAGAAAAUGGGUGGAUGGAUGGAUGGAUGGAUGUCUUUUUAAGGACCUGAAAAAGACGACUUUCACCUUUCACUUUCAACCAAAUCUCAACGUUGUUGAGACGUCUGUCUUUGACUUUUCAACAAGUUUUUGUUGGUGGCUGCAUCCAGAAACUUUUGCUACAACUCCUCCUCCUCACUUUCUAUUGCUCCUCUCCUGUCCUCCUGUCUCCUGGGGAGGAGCAGAAGGAAAGAAUCAGCAGUAAAAUGGGACAGCGAUCUGGUCCAAUGUCAGCAGAUUUAACAGAGAGUCUACAUUCAUGAAUCUUCCUCUGGAAGCUGCUUUGAUAAAGAUCUUUUAUUGGAUGGAUCUUUAUGGGGUAAAGAACCUUUUUGAAGUUUGAAGAACCUCAGUAUAGUGAAAGGUAUGGAAUCGGAAUAGAACCUUAACAUUAUGUGAAGAUUUUUAAAACCUUCAGACCUAAAGAGCUUGAUUACGUGACUUAGUGUUGGUGUGCUGUGAGAGGUUUAUGGCAGGAGUUACACUGUAGAGGGUCAAAACCUGGCAUGAACUUAUCUGAAAGGGGCCUGGUGUUCAUUCCAAACAAACGAAGACCUGAUUCCACAUGUUUAAUCACUUUCUUGGAAAGCAAGCCCACAGUCACUCCAGCCCUUUUCAAAUGAGAUUGAACACCCCUACUUGUGAGAUGUGGUUCAAUACAUUUGAUCCAACAACCACAAGGUUUUUUGGUGUUUUAUGAAUCAGUCGAUCAUUUUCUUCCCUCUUUUUCAUUUCUGGCUCAGCACUCUGUUAUAAUCACAACCUGUAUUCACUAUGCUGUCUGUUUUCAGCAGGACAGUAGAAGACAUCUUUCCCACUCACUGAACUCACUGAAGCAUCCUUGCUGGUCCACAUUCAAACAGAGUGUUGUUUUGGAGAAAGUUCUUUACUGUGGACCAUUUGAGGGAAACGCAUUGUGGAUGUUUGUUUUAGCGCCACCCCAGAGGUGCCUCAGUGUGUUCUGUGUAUGUAGAAAAGACAUGAAGCUGAAAAUAGAUGCCAUAUUGCACAUAUUUGGUCUGAAUGCACUAAUAUGACUUCAUGUACCAGAUGGUUUAAUUAACGUA
Long non-coding RNA from Pygocentrus nattereri (red-bellied piranha), 1408 nucleotides. RefSeq lists it as uncharacterized. The transcript has 3 exons. The record is from RefSeq and is a predicted model, not a curated record. NCBI's taxonomy places the organism in Eukaryota, Metazoa, Chordata, Actinopteri, Characiformes, Serrasalmidae.